AGUGAACGCUGGCGGUAGGCCUAACACAUGCAAGUCGAACGGCAGCACAGAGGAGCUUGCUCCUUGGGUGGCGAGUGGCGGACGGGUGAGGAAUACAUCGGAAUCUACUCUGUCGUGGGGGAUAACGUAGGGAAACUUACGCUAAUACCGCAUACGACCUACGGGUGAAAGCAGGUGAUCUUCGGACCUUGCGCGAUUGAAUGAGCCGAUGUCGGAUUAGCUAGUUGGCGGGGUAAAGGCCCACCAAGGCGACGAUCCGUAGCUGGUCUGAGAGGAUGAUCAGCCACACUGGAACUGAGACACGGUCCAGACUCCUACGGGAGGCAGCAGUGGGGAAUAUUGGACAAUGGGCGCAAGCCUGAUCCAGCCAUACCGCGUGGGUGAAGAAGGCCUUCGGGUUGUAAAGCCCUUUUGUUGGGAAAGAAAUCCAGCUGGUUAAUACCCGGUUGGGAUGACGGUACCCAAAGAAUAAGCACCGGCUAACUUCGUGCCAGCCGCCGCCGUAA
This 506-nucleotide ribosomal RNA is filed under the name uncultured bacterium. Its description in RNAcentral is "partial 16S ribosomal RNA". It matches the Rfam family "Bacterial small subunit ribosomal RNA", at positions 29 to 523 of the family's 1533-position model. The record is from RNAcentral.